UACGUAGGGCGCAAGCGUUAUCCGGAAUUAUUGGGCGUAAAGAGCUCGUAGGCGGUUUGUCGCGUCUGCCGUGAAAGUCCGGGGCUCAACUCCGGAUCUGCGGUGGGUACGGGCAGACUAGAGUGAUGUAGGGGAGACUGGAAUUCCUGGUGUAGCGGUGAAAUGCGCAGAUAUCAGGAGGAACACCGGUGGCGAAGGCGGUUCUCUGGGCAUUACCUGACACUGAGGAGCGAAAGUGUGGGGAGCGAACAGG
This 253-nucleotide ribosomal RNA is filed under the name uncultured bacterium. RNAcentral's name for it is "partial 16S ribosomal RNA". It matches the Rfam family "Bacterial small subunit ribosomal RNA", at positions 524 to 776 of the family's 1533-position model. The record is from RNAcentral.